Molecule: ribosomal RNA, 865 nt
Filed under: uncultured bacterium
Lineage: Bacteria
Description: bacterial SSU rRNA
Rfam family: Bacterial small subunit ribosomal RNA
Source: RNAcentral
AGAGUUUGAUUAUGGCUCAGGAUGAACGCUGGCGGUAUGCUUAACACAUGCAAGUCGAACGGGGGACUUCGGUCCCUAGUGGCGGACGGGUGAGUAACGCGUGAGAACAUGCCUAUCGAUUGGGGACAACAGUUGGAAACGACUGCUAAUACCGAAUGUGCCUACGGGUGAAAGAUUUAUCGUCGAUAGAUUGGCUCGCGUCAGAUUAGCUAGUUGGUAGGGUAACGGCUUACCAAGGCGACGAUCUGUAACUGGUCUGAGAGGAUGACCAGUCACACUGGAACUGAGACACGGUCCAGACUCCUACGGGAGGCAGCAGUGGGGAAUUUUCCGCAAUGGGCGAAAGCCUGACGGAGCAAUACCGCGUGUGGGAGGACGCUUUUUGGAGUGUAAACCACUUUUAUUAGGGAAGAAGAACUGACGGUACCUAAUGAAUCAGCAUCGGCUAACUCCGUGCCAGCAGCCGCGGUAAUACGGGGGAUGCAAGCGUUAUCCGGAAUUAUUGGGCGUAAAGCGUCCGUAGGUGGCUCAUCAAGUCUGUUGUCAAAGCGUGCGGCUUAACCGCAUACGGGCGAUGGAAACUGAUGAGCUAGAGUGCGAUAGGGGUCAGGGGAAUUCCCGGUGUAGCGGUGAAAUGCGUAGAUAUCGGGAAGAACACCAGUGGCGAAAGCGCCUGACUGGGUCUGCACUGACACUGAGGGACGAAAGCUAGGGGAGCGAAAGGGAUUAGAUACCCCUGUAGUCCUAGCCGUAAACGAUGACAACUAGGUGUGGUUCGUAUCGACCCGAGCCGUGCCGUAGCCAACGCGUUAAGUUGUCCGCCUGGGAGUACGCACGCAAGUGUGAAACUCAAAGGAAUUGACGG